This 571-nucleotide ribosomal RNA is filed under the name Colletotrichum gloeosporioides. RNAcentral describes it as "eukaryotic LSU rRNA". It matches the Rfam family "Eukaryotic large subunit ribosomal RNA", at positions 68 to 663 of the family's 3401-position model. The record is from RNAcentral. Lineage: Eukaryota; Fungi; Ascomycota; Sordariomycetes; Glomerellales; Glomerellaceae.
CCGGGCAUUGCCUCAGUAACGGCGAGUGAAGCGGCAACAGCUCAAAUUUGAAAUCUGGCCCUAGGCCCGAGUUGUAAUUUGCAGAGGAUGCUUUUGGUGCGGUGCCUUCCAAGUUCCCUAGAACGGGACGCCAGAGAGGGUGAGAGCCCCGUACAGUUGGACACCAAGCCUUUGUAAAGCUCCUUCGACGAGUCGAGUAGUUUGGGAAUGCUGCUCAAAAUGGGAGGUAUAUUUCUUCUAAAGCUAAAUACCGGCCAGAGACCGAUAGCGCACAAGUAGAGUGAUCGAAAGAUGAAAAGCACUUUGAAAAGAGGGUUAAACAGCACGUGAAAUUGUUAAAAGGGAAGCGCUUGUGACCAGACUUGCGUCCGGUGAAUCACCCAGCUCUCGCGGCUGGGGCACUUCGCCGGCUCAGGCCAGCAUCAGCUCGCUGUCGGGGACAAAAGCUUCAGGAACGUAGCUCUCUUCGGGGAGUGUUAUAGCCUGUUGCAUAAUACCCUUCGGCGGGCUGAGGUACGCGCUCCGCAAGGAUGCUGGCAUAAUGGUCAUCAGCGACCCGUCUAAAAACACU